RNAcentral lists this long non-coding RNA (368 nucleotides) under Brassica rapa (field mustard). RNAcentral's name for it is "long non-coding RNA (BRAP_LNC007776)". The record is from RNAcentral. Lineage: Eukaryota; Viridiplantae; Streptophyta; Magnoliopsida; Brassicales; Brassicaceae.
ACACUGAUAAAUCUUAUCUUUUAGACUACGCUAUUUGUUUGUUUUUUUUUUUUGAUAAUCAUGGAGAUCCGGUGACUGAGGUCAACCGACUAAUCCCACAGUACUCUAUGUAUUCUUGCGAUUCAACGCUAGCUUGAAUUACCACACGGGGUUUCGAAGAUGGGUCCGUAUUGAGGCUUUUGCUCCGUCAAGACCACUAAUCCACCACCGUGUGGUUAACUACUACUACGCUAUUUGUUCCAAUUAUUUUGCUGAACUAUGUUACAUAACGUCACUCGAUCGCUACAGCUUUGAAAUUUGAAAAAGCACAAUUUUUUUCAGCAUUCCACUAGUCAGUUGUCACUUACCGUUUUGGAUUCUAAUAUUCC